CGCCAAAGAGCUAGCCCCCCCCCCCCAACCCCAAAAACCAAUAUUAAUACCCCUAAACGUAUCAAAGACCAACUUAAACAAACCAUUUUUCCUCCUUAGUAUGGGAGACAGAAAAGGAA
RNAcentral lists this ribosomal RNA (119 nucleotides) under Xenocephalus elongatus (bulldog stargazer). Its description in RNAcentral is "partial 16S rRNA". The record is from RNAcentral. Lineage: Eukaryota; Metazoa; Chordata; Actinopteri; Uranoscopiformes; Uranoscopidae.